Molecule: ribosomal RNA, 373 nt
Filed under: uncultured organism
Description: partial 16S ribosomal RNA
Rfam family: Bacterial small subunit ribosomal RNA
Source: RNAcentral
GUAGGUGGCAAGCGUUGUCCGGAAUUAUUGGGCGUAAAGCGCGCGCAGGUGGUUCUUUAAGUCUGAUGUGAAAGCCCCCGGCUCAACCGGGGAGGGUCAUUGGAAACUGGGGAACUUGAGUGCAGGAGAGGAAAGUGGAAUUCCACGUGUAGCGGUGAAAUGCGUAGAUAUGUGGAGGAACACCAGUGGCGAAGGCGACUUUCUGGCCUGUAACUGACACUGAGGCGCGAAAGCGUGGGGAGCAAACAGGAUUAGAUACCCUGGUAGUCCACGCCGUAAACGAUGAGUGCUAAGUGUUGGGGGGGUUUCCGCCCCUCAGUGCUGCAGCUAACGCAUUAAGCACUCCGCCUGGGGAGUACGGUCGCAAAGACUG